Non-coding RNA from Pelobates cultripes (western spadefoot toad), 228 nucleotides. The record is from the annotation of a GenBank genome assembly. NCBI's taxonomy places the organism in Eukaryota, Metazoa, Chordata, Amphibia, Anura, Pelobatidae.
GGAAAAUAGGAAUUCAAAGCUGCAGGUAAAGGCGGCUAUUUACACUUAGUAAUUUGAUGUAAUGUUUCCCGAGAUUGGAUAUUAACCCUUUUAUGCUAGGAGUUAGGUAAGUCUACAAUCAUGAAAAUAGUAAAUAAACCAGAACUGACUCUUUUCUGGAUGUAAUAGUUCUUUGUUCCCCAAUGCCAACAAAUGUUAUUGUAACAUUUACUUUGGUGGACAAAGCAG